GAUGAACGCUGGCGGCGUGCCUAAUACAUGCAAGUCGAGCGAACAGACGAGGAGCUUGCUCCUCUGACGUUAGCGGCGGACGGGUGAAUAACACGUGGAUAACCUACCUAUAAGACUGGGAUAACUUCGGGAAACCGGAGCUAAUACCGGAUAAUAUAUUGAACCGCAGGGUUCAAUAGUGAAAGACGGUUUUGCUGUCACUUAUAGAUGGAUCCGCGCCGCAUUAGCUAGUUGGUAAGGUAACAGCCUACCACGGCAACGAUGCGUAGCCGACCGCCGGGGGUGAUCGGCCACACUGGAGCUGAGACACGGUCCAGACUCCUACGGGAGGCAGCAGUAGGGAAUCUUCCGCAAUGGGCGAAAGCCUGACGGAGCAACGCCGCGUGAGUGAUGACGGUCUUCGGAUCGUAAAACUCUGUUAUUAGGGAAGAACAAAUGUGUAAGUAACUAUGCACGUCUUGACGGUAACUAAUCAGAAAGCCACGGCUAACUACGUG
Molecule: ribosomal RNA, 497 nt
Filed under: uncultured bacterium
Lineage: Bacteria
Description: partial 16S ribosomal RNA
Rfam family: Bacterial small subunit ribosomal RNA
Source: RNAcentral